RNAcentral lists this long non-coding RNA (1680 nucleotides) under Helianthus annuus (common sunflower). The record is from RNAcentral. Lineage: Eukaryota; Viridiplantae; Streptophyta; Magnoliopsida; Asterales; Asteraceae.
UAAUUCACUCCGCAAUCAAGAAAUCGCCGCCCUUCUUCCCACAUUCGAUGGCACCACAUCCAUCUUCUGAUGAUUAUGUUCAAGAGAUUAUUCCAUUUCCUAAAGAAGGAGAUUAAUCCAUUUUCUAUUUCUUCCUCCUUCGAUUAGGUGGAAGAAAAUGAUGAAAUCAAUGGUCGUUUCAAGAUGGGAUUGUUUUCAAGAUUUAAGAUUCCAUAAAACUUGCAUCAAUGAUCUUGUAUCAAAAAUCUUGAAGAGCUGCUGGUGCAUAUAGCCACAGUCAGGGUAUUAAAGGAUUGCGCGACACCAUUGUUGCUGGUAUUGAAGCUCGGGAUGGUUUUCCUGCUGAUCCAAAUUAUAUCUUUUUGACAGAAGGUGCAAGUCCAGGGGUCCAUAUGAUGAUGCAGUUAUUAAUAAGAUCAGAGAAUGCUGGUCAGUGAUACACAUUUGACGAGCAACCAGUUCAAACUUUCCACUGUCAGUUGACUACCUCUCCAGAACCCAACUUCAUAAUCAUUAGGUUCGAUAUCUUCUUUAGACGUAGAUAAAUAAACAGGAUUCCAGUUAGCAAACAACGAUUGAGGCAGAUAAUCGUCGCCACGGGAAAGACCCGAAUCAUAACAAACGCUUUUCAGCCGUUGAAGUUUCCUCCAAACGACGCGGCUUCAGAUGAAUCAGUUAGGGCACAUUUUCAUCAUCAUUUUUUGUAAGUUUUACUAAAAGUUUAUAUUAAUUAAUCUGAAACUGUCUUGACGAGUCGAGUUAAAACUGUAAACACGUUUGGCUAACAGUAAGUCAUGUCAGUUUCUGUAUGCACUUGCUUGCUGUGUAGGUUGUAUAUGUAUAUUUGGGUGAGAUUUGAUCUUUUGAAAUUAAAUGUUCCGAUGUAUAUUGAAUAUUGAGACACAACAUGUAAGAAUGGGAUAUAAUCUAAUAUGCUAUGGGAAUUUGUAGGAAGCAUUCUCCAGUUGACAUAUAGGGUAUUAGGGUUCUCAGAAUCGUGUGGUUUAUAACAUAUGACCGUUUCCUAGAUGUGUGGCCUAACCUGUUUAUUGUAGAAACAAUAUACAUGUUGAGGUGUGUUUGAAGUUUGAACCAGUCAUCUAAGAGUUAAAUUUAGUGGUAGCCCAUAUAUGUGGAAUCUUGUAUUUGUAUUGGUAUUGGUAUUGUGGAAGGUGUUUUGUGAGUUUGUACGCAUAUGUAAACCCUUAUAUGAAAACAAGUUUUUUUUGGAAGUCAUAAGCUUAGACCUAUUUGAAAUGCUUAAUAGAUCUGCUACCAAAUAUAUAAAGCCAACAUCGUGAACUUUACUAUUUGCCUGCUAUGGAAGUCUUCCACAAUUCAUCCUCUAUAUUUGGUUAGACAUCAAUAAUAUUAACUUUUAAUUGCUUUUAUUACCAAAGUGAGCCAGUUGGGUAAUGGGUCAAAAUGAGUUGGGGUCAAAACAGGUAGUUCUAAAUGAUGAAAUUUCAGUUACCGACUUACCGGGCAUAUUUUUGCAAGCCAAGCUAGAGACCGUGAAAAAGGUGGGCUCUAAAUGAUGAAAUUUCAGUUACCGACUUACCGGGCAAUCAAAGUUUGUUUCACUAGAAGCUGAUUCACUCGACACACCAACUCCAAAUUAAUAAAUGAAUAAACUUUAUGUUAUAGUUUCACUAUUAUCUGGUUUGUGUAUCUGUUUUU